UUUACCGCGUUGAUGUUCCAGCCAUGAAUGAAAUUGAAGUAACUCGGAGUUUGGGUCAUCAAAGUAAGGAAACCCCAGCCACUGCCCCACUGUCCGGCAAUAGUCAUCCAAACUGGGACAGACAGCAAUAUGGACUUCCAGGAUAUUCGAGGAUGUUCCUGGGGUGAAUCGUAUGCCAGGAAUAACCAGGCACAGUACCUUCGAAGGAAACUCUACGUUAGCAUUUCUGUUAAGUUCAUUUAUUCAUUUAUUAUUAAUUUAUUACAUAUGUAUUAGUUCAAGCUUAAGCGUGCUACAAAUUUAAUAGCUUUUACAGAAUUUAUUCAGGUUGUAUCGUUACUACUUUACAGGAAAAGAAUUAUGAUCAAUGAAAACUACCAACAUAUUUCCAUGAAAAUAAACUCUCAAUUGCUUAUGUAAAACAAUAACUAACAGGCUUAACUAACAGUAGCAUAUAUACAGGGUGGAAAUCAGAUGAAAGUUGUUCAAUACUAAGGAGGACAUUAUGUGGUGGAACUUUUGGAGGUUACAUAUAUAACCUUAUAACUUAUAAGGUAGCUUAUACAUAUAAGCUACUGUUAGUUCAGCCAAUUGAUUUCUUUCAGCAAAUAAGUCUAAAAUAAAUUUCGUUAAAAAUUGUUUUCUUACACACGAAAUCUUAAAGCCAAAAAUAAUCUUAUAAGGAUUUCGGUGAGAGAUUUCACGAUUGCCAUGGCAAAUAUUUUCAGAUAAGUCUACAGAAUGUUCUUAUCUAUAAGCAAAUUAUUACCAGAUUACUCCAAGCGAAGACGUUACAUAAAAAGCUGCACUCCAACCAU
This is a long non-coding RNA of Hylaeus volcanicus, 818 nucleotides long. RefSeq lists it as uncharacterized. NCBI's taxonomy places the organism in Eukaryota, Metazoa, Arthropoda, Insecta, Hymenoptera, Colletidae. The record is from RefSeq and is a predicted model, not a curated record. The transcript has 3 exons.